GAGAAGACUUUGAUCAUGAUAUAUUAGAUGUAAGCCCCAUACACCAUGGGCGGUCCUCCUUUUGGUGAUAUGAGCCGGGAUAAGUGCUGCCAUGGUGGCGCAGUCACACUGGCACAACACCCCGCGUCGUUCGCGCCGAUGCUGAUGUGUUCUGCCUCCAUGCUUCGCCCUGCGAUUCCAUCCGCUGGGAGGUGUGCGCACAUAUGUUUCAUCCCCAAUACUACUUAUGUGAUUUACUCAUAUACCUACAUGAACCGGCAUAAUUGUUGGAAAUGUUUUUAAAGAAGUAUAUCUUAAUUAGUUUAGCUCCCUGGCGGAGAAAAUCUUAUCUGACUCUCAUUUUGCAGAUAGUCGCCCAAACAACACACCAUGUCGUGGGCUGGCAUACCAUGGUCGGAGACUAGACCAAGUGCUCGGCAUGGAGCCACAUUAUAUAGUCUAUUGGCAGAUUUAGAUUCCCCUCAAAAAAUAAUACCAUUGUGUUAAUGUUGAAUACUAUUUCGAGUUUGCGAGACAACAACCGCUACAAUAAAAUUUGCAACUUAGCAUGUUUAGUGCAUUCUGGUUGUGAGUAGAUGUAUUUUAGUUUAAGGAAUAUGUGUCCUUGUGGCCACUUGUAGUUUAACAUUUUGUCAUUUUUUGCAAAGAUGUUCUCCUGUAGUUAUUUGAUUACUAUUUGACCCACGUCAUUUGCAAAUAUUUAUGUUUGCCGAUUGUCCA
Non-coding RNA from Triticum urartu, 720 nucleotides. The record is from RefSeq and is a predicted model, not a curated record. NCBI's taxonomy places the organism in Eukaryota, Viridiplantae, Streptophyta, Magnoliopsida, Poales, Poaceae.